RNAcentral lists this ribosomal RNA (429 nucleotides) under Bacteroidota bacterium. Its description in RNAcentral is "Bacteroidetes bacterium partial 16S ribosomal RNA". It matches the Rfam family "Bacterial small subunit ribosomal RNA", at positions 355 to 776 of the family's 1533-position model. Lineage: Bacteria; Pseudomonadati; Bacteroidota. The record is from RNAcentral.
UAGGGAAUCUUCCGCAAUGGACGCAAGUCUGACGGAGCAACGCCGCGCGAGUGAAGAAGGAUUUCGGUUCGUAAAACUCUGUUGUUAGAGAAGAACAGCGCAUAGAGUAACUGUUAUGCGUGUGACGGUAUCUAACCAGAAAGCCACGGCUAACUACGUGCCAGCAGCCGCGGUAAUACGUAGGUGGCAAGCGUUGUCCGGAUUUAUUGGGCGUAAAGCGAGCGCAGGCGGUCAAUUAAGUCUGAUGUGAAAGCCCCCGGCUCAACCGGGGAGGGUCAUUGGAAACUGGUUGACUUGAGUGCAGAAGAGGAGAGUGGAAUUCCAUGUGUAGCGGUGAAAUGCGUAGAUAUAUGGAGGAACACCAGUGGCGAAGGCGACUCUCUGGUCUGUAACUGACGCUGAGGCUCGAAAGCGUGGGUAGCAAACAGG